AACGCACGAGACCUGCGGACCUGCGGAAGGAUCAUUAAUGAGAAGCUGCCCCUCGUGGGUAGACCUCCCACCCUCUGUGAACUUACCUUUGUUGCUUUGGCAGGCCCGUCCUCUGGACCGCCGGCCUCGGCUGGCCCGUGCCUGCCAGAGGAUUCCAAACCCUGUCUGUCAGUGUUGUCUGAGUCUAUAUGAAAUCGUUAAAACUUUCAGCAAUGGAUCUCUAGAUCGGAAGAGCACACG
Molecule: unclassified non-coding RNA, 240 nt
Filed under: soil metagenome
Description: partial contains 5.8S ribosomal RNA, internal transcribed spacer 2, and large subunit ribosomal RNA
Source: RNAcentral